GGCGAUGGCCUCGCGCCAGUGCUGGGCGCGGCACCCCCGCGUGGGCCUGUGUUGGGCGGCUUUUGAGCAGGAGUCCGGGCCCUCGUGUCACCGCUCUGAAGUCAAGGAGGGCCGAGAACUACUGGUGGCGUGGCCAGAACACACGGACGCUGUGUGUGGGGCCCUUCCCUCGCAACGUGGUGACCUCCGUGGCCGGCCUGUCGGCCCAGGACAUCAGCCAGCCCCUGCAGAACAGCUUCAUCCACACAGGGCAUGGCGACAGUGACCCCCGCCACUGCUGGGGCUUCCCGGACAGGAUUG
Molecule: non-coding RNA, 300 nt
Filed under: Pan troglodytes (chimpanzee)
Lineage: Eukaryota; Metazoa; Chordata; Mammalia; Primates; Hominidae
Also listed under: 1 other name
Source: RNAcentral